CUACGGGAGGCAGCAGUGGGGAAUAUUGGGCAAUGGGCGGAAGCCUGACCCAGCCACGCCGCGUGCAGGAAGACGGCCCUCUGGGUUGUAAACUGCUUUUAACUGGGAAGAAAGCAGCUCAUGCGUGAGAAUUUGACGGUACCAGUUGAAUAAGCCACGGCUAACUACGUGCCAGCAGCCGCGGUAAUACGUAGGUGGCGAGCGUUAUCCGGAUUUAUUGGGUUUAAAGGGAGCGUAGGCGGCUGAUUAAGUCAGCGGUGAAAGGUAGCAGCUUAACUGUUUUACAUGCCGUUGAUACUGGUUAGCUUGAGUUGACAGAAGGCAGAUAGAAUUCCUGAUGUAGCGGUGAAAUGCUUAGAUAUCAGGAGGAAUACCGAUUGCGAAGGCAGUCUGCUGCAGUCACACUGACGCUGAGGCUCGAAGGUGCGGGGAUCAAACAGGAUUAGAUACCCUGGUAGC
This 459-nucleotide ribosomal RNA is filed under the name uncultured bacterium. RNAcentral's name for it is "bacterial SSU rRNA". It matches the Rfam family "Bacterial small subunit ribosomal RNA", at positions 339 to 794 of the family's 1533-position model. The record is from RNAcentral.